Molecule: ribosomal RNA, 548 nt
Filed under: Gadopsis marmoratus
Lineage: Eukaryota; Metazoa; Chordata; Actinopteri; Centrarchiformes; Percichthyidae
Description: partial 16S ribosomal RNA
Rfam family: Bacterial large subunit ribosomal RNA
Source: RNAcentral
UAAGAGGUCCCGCCUGCCCUGUGACUAUAUGUUUAACGGCCGCGGUAUUUUAACCGUGCGAAGGUAGCGCAAUCACUUGUCUUUUAAAUGAAGACCUGUAUGAAUGGCAUAACGAGGGCUUAACUGUCUCCUUUUCUAAGUCAAUGAAAUUGAUCUUUCCGUGCAGAAGCGGGAAUAAUAUCAUAAGACGAGAAGACCCUAUGGAGCUUUAGACAAAAGGUAGAUCAUACUAAAUACCCUAAACAAAGGCUUAAAAUAAAAGAAUACUACCCUUAUGUCUUCGGUUGGGGCGACCGCGGGGCACAUAAAACCCCCACGUGGACUGAGAGAACUUUUAUCUCACCUCCCAAAACUAAGAGCCCCCACUCUAGUAAACAGAACUUCUGACCAAAAAUGAUCCGGCAACGCCGAUCAACGGACCAAGUUACCCUAGGGAUAACAGCGCAAUCCCCUUUUAGAGUUCAUAUCGACAAGGGGGUUUACGACCUCGAUGUUGGAUCAGGACAUCCUAAUGGUGCAGCCGCUAUUAAGGGUUCGUUUGUUCAACG